UCUUGACCUCGGAAUCAAGUAGGGAUACCCGCUGAACUUAAGCAUAU
RNAcentral lists this ribosomal RNA (47 nucleotides) under Pyrenochaeta sp. RNAcentral's name for it is "partial 28S ribosomal RNA". The record is from RNAcentral. Lineage: Eukaryota; Fungi; Ascomycota; Dothideomycetes; Pleosporales; Cucurbitariaceae.